UACGGAGGGUGCUAGCGUUGUUCGGAAUCACUGGGCGUAAAGGGCGUGUAGGCGGUCUGUUAAGUCUGAUGUGAAAUCCCCUCGCUCAACGAGGGAACUGCGUCGGAUACUGGCAGACUCGAGUACCGGAGAGGAAGGUGGAAUUCCCGGUGUAGCGGUGAAAUUCGUAGAUAUCAGGAGGAACACCCGUAGCGAAGGCGGCACUCUGGGCCGAUACUGACACUGAGGAGCGAAAGCGUGGGGAGCGAACAGG
Molecule: ribosomal RNA, 253 nt
Filed under: uncultured bacterium
Lineage: Bacteria
Description: partial 16S ribosomal RNA
Rfam family: Bacterial small subunit ribosomal RNA
Source: RNAcentral